RNAcentral lists this ribosomal RNA (491 nucleotides) under uncultured bacterium. RNAcentral describes it as "partial 16S ribosomal RNA". It matches the Rfam family "Bacterial small subunit ribosomal RNA", at positions 29 to 507 of the family's 1533-position model. The record is from RNAcentral.
AGUGAACGCUGGCGGUAGGCCUAACACAUGCAAGUCGAACGGCAGCACAGUAAGAGCUUGCUCUUACGGGUGGCGAGUGGCGGACGGGUGAGGAAUACAUCGGAAUCUACUUUUUCGUGGGGGAUAACGUAGGGAAACUUACGCUAAUACCGCAUACGACCUACGGGUGAAAGCAGGGGAUCUUCGGACCUUUCGCGAUUGAAUGAGCCGAUGUCGGAUUAGCUAGUUGGCGGGGUAAAGGCCCACCAAGGCGACGAUCCGUAGCUGGUCUGAGAGGAUGAUCAGCCACACUGGAACUGAGACACGGUCCAGACUCCUACGGGAGGCAGCAGUGGGGAAUAUUGGACAAUGGGCGCAAGCCUGAUCCAGCCAUACCGCGUGGGUGAAGAAGGCCUUCGGGUUGUAAGCCCUUUUGUUGGGAAAGAAAAGCAGCAGGUUAAUACCCCGCUGUUCUGACGGUACCCAAAGAAUAAGCACCGGCUAACUUCGUG